CAUGCAAGUCGAGCGCACUCUUUUAGAGUGAGCGGCAAACGGGUGAGUAACGCGUGGGAAUCUACCCCUCUCUACGGAAUAACACAGAGAAAUUUGUGCUAAUACCGUAUACGUCCUAUUGGAGAAAGAUUUAUCGGAGAUGGAUGAGCCCGCGUUGGAUUAGCUAGUUGGUGAGGUAACGGCUCACCAAGGCGACGAUCCAUAGCUGGUCUGAGAGGAUGAUCAGCCACACUGGGACUGAGACACGGCCCAGACUCCUACGGGAGGCAGCAGUGGGGAAUAUUGGACAAUGGGGGCAACCCUGAUCCAGCCAUGCCGCGUGAGUGAUGAA
This 331-nucleotide ribosomal RNA is filed under the name uncultured Bartonella sp. Its description in RNAcentral is "bacterial SSU rRNA". It matches the Rfam family "Bacterial small subunit ribosomal RNA", at positions 54 to 412 of the family's 1533-position model. The record is from RNAcentral. Lineage: Bacteria; Pseudomonadati; Pseudomonadota; Alphaproteobacteria; Hyphomicrobiales; Bartonellaceae.